This 474-nucleotide long non-coding RNA is filed under the name Taeniopygia guttata (zebra finch). RNAcentral's name for it is "lncRNA (ENSTGUG00000028529.1)". Lineage: Eukaryota; Metazoa; Chordata; Aves; Passeriformes; Estrildidae. The record is from RNAcentral.
GGGAAUUAAGAAUUACAAUGAUGUGCAUUUUUUUGAAGCCUGCACUUAUUACCCACAAAAAGGGUGCAUAAUCAAGGUCAGUAAAGUCCAGGACUGAAAGAGUCAGUGCACUGCAGGAAGUAUUACAACAUAAAACAGAUAUCUGCCAUGAAGACAAACACCUACCAGAGAUAUCUAGAACACAGAGGAGCUGCAUAAACAGCCAGCUUUUCAAAUGGAUGGAAUUUUUUUUUCCCACCUACAGUGCCUUCCGUAAAUAACUUCCUCACGAUGAUAAAGCUGCCAUGGAGCUGCACACUGAGAAGCUCUGCCGGAAGAAAAGAUAACUUGAGUAUAUAUCCAAGACAAGACCUUGUCACACACCAGACACAUCUUAGCUCCCCUGACAGAAAAGCCAACCAUCUCAGCAGGGCAGGGGCUGCAGUGGACACAGCAGCUUCCCGUGGCCUUCACAGAUACAGGAACCAGCCCUGA